CCUACGGGGGGCAGCAGUGGGGAAUAUUGCACAAUGGGGGAAACCCUGAUGCAGCGACGCCACGUGAGUGAAGAAGUAUUUCGGUACGUAAAGCUCUAUCAGCAGGGAAGAAAAUGACGGUACCUGACUAAGAAGCCCCGGCUAACUACGUGCCAGCAGCCGCGGUAAUACGUAGGGGGCAAGCGUUAUCCGGAUUUACUGGGUGUAAAGGGAGCGUAGACGGCAGCGCAAGUCUGGAGUGAAAUCCCAUGGCUUAACCAUGGAACUGCUUUGGAAAAUGUGCAGCUAGAGUGCAGGAGAGGUAAGCGGAAUUCCUAGUGUAGCGGUGAAAUGCGUAGAUAUUAGGAGGAACACCAGUGGCGAAGGCGGCUUACUGGACUGUAACUGACGUUGAGGCUCGAAAGCGUGGGGAGCAAACAGGAUUAGAUACCCUUGUAGUC
RNAcentral lists this ribosomal RNA (440 nucleotides) under uncultured bacterium. RNAcentral's name for it is "partial 16S ribosomal RNA". It matches the Rfam family "Bacterial small subunit ribosomal RNA", at positions 338 to 795 of the family's 1533-position model. The record is from RNAcentral.